This is a long non-coding RNA of Vicia villosa (hairy vetch), 937 nucleotides long. RefSeq lists it as uncharacterized. Lineage: Eukaryota; Viridiplantae; Streptophyta; Magnoliopsida; Fabales; Fabaceae. The record is from RefSeq and is a predicted model, not a curated record. The transcript has 3 exons.
UAAUUAUGCUAAUCUCAAUUAAUCUCAAUUAGUACUAAUAUUAAUGUUAAUUAAAAGGGGAAGAAAGAGGAAAUUAGGGUUCGUGUAUGGCUACCUAACUUUUGAACCAGACUCGUCUCCCUCGUUGAUUCACGGCGCACAAACAACGGCCUCUUAUCUUCUUCUUCGGCGAGCGUUUUGAACGCCGUCGUGAAUUGAUAUCACCUCCUCUCUCAAUCUCAUCUCCGAUCGAAAAUCUCACUUCCGGUUACUCGACGAGUUCUCCUCUCAUUUCCGCUCUAUCCCCGAUUCAAUAAUAGCGAAUAACCGAACAUAAAUCAAAGAAGAGAUGGAGAGUGUUACCUGGAAGGAAGCACAUGCGCAGGGAGAGAAAUCCCAAGAGGUGAAUCCGAGCUUCAAAACUGCGAAAUAAACGCAAGAACACUGAGAAAUCUUUCAGGGAAGUGAGAUUGAAGAAUGUUGUGGAGAAGAACUGUGUAGGUUGAAGAAUAACGUUCUACAGAUUGGUGAUUAAGGUGCAGAGUGAAGGAGAGAUCGGUGAAGCUUUUUCUAGUUUUCUGAUUCUUGUUGGUUGAAGAAUGAAGAAUCGAAGGAAAGAGGUGAUUGAAGCAGUGAAGAUUGAGGGCACACAUUUUGGAGUUUUGUUCUAAAGCUGAGUCGGUUAUGAGCUGUUAUGGAAGUUUUCCUGAAUCAAAUUUUGUGAGGACUGUUCGAAUUUGCAAGGCCCAGUUUGGUUGUUGGGAGCGGUUUUGAUGAGCUUGGUGUACGUAACUGUAUGGGCUGAUGUAGCGCGCUGGUGGAGUUGGCUGAUUUAAUUUUUGUAUUCUUUGAAUUGUAUUGAUUUUUGGAUGUAAUAUGAACAUUAAAUGUGGAUAUAAUUUUGCCGGUAUAAUCUUUUUAAUCAACUUGAAUGAACUUUGAAUGGAUAUUUGAGUGA